Molecule: ribosomal RNA, 468 nt
Filed under: uncultured bacterium
Lineage: Bacteria
Description: partial 16S ribosomal RNA
Rfam family: Bacterial small subunit ribosomal RNA
Source: RNAcentral
GACGAACGCUGGCGGCGUGCUUAACACAUGCAAGUCGAACGGAAAGGCCCUGCUUUUGUGGGGUGCUCGAGUGGCGAACGGGUGAGUAACACGUGAGUAACCUGCCCUUGACUUUGGGAUAACUUCAGGAAACUGGGGCUAAUACCGGAUAGGAGCUCCUGCUGCAUGGUGGGGGUUGGAAAGUUUCGGCGGUUGGGGAUGGACUCGCGGCUUAUCAGCUUGUUGGUGGGGUAGUGGCUUACCAAGGCUUUGACGGGUAGCCGGCCUGGGAGGGUGACCGGCCACGUUGGGCCUGGGAUACGGCCCAGACUCCUACGGGAGGCAGCAGUGGGGAAUAUUGCACAAUGGGCGGAAGCCUGAUGCAGCAACGCCGCGUGCGGGAUGACGGCCUUCGGGUUGUAAACCGCUUUCGCCUGUGACGAAGCGUGAGUGACGGUAAUGGGUAAAGAAGCACCGGCUAACUACGUG